UUCUUUACUUAGCGGCGGACGGGUGAGUAACACGUGGGCAACCUACCCUAUGGAGGGGAAUAACAGGGAGAAAUCUUUGCUAAUACCGCAUAGAUCCGAAGUUUUGCAUAAAGCUUUGGAGAAAGGAGAAAUCCGCCAUAGGAUGGGCCCGCGUCCCAUUAGCUAGUUGGUGAGAUAACAGCCCACCAAGGCGACGAUGGGUAGCCGACCUGAGAGGGUGAACGGCCACAUUGGAACUGAGACACGGUCCAGACUCCUACGGGAGGCAGCAGUGGGGAAUAUUGCACAAUGGGGGGAACCCUGAUGCAGCAACGCCGCGUGAGCGAUGAAGGUCUUCGGAUUGUAAAGCUCUGUCUUCGCUGACGAUAAUGACGGUAAGCGAGGAGGAAGCCACGGCUAACUACGUGCCAGCAGCCGCGGUAAUACGUAGGUGGCGAGCGUUGUCCGGAAUUACUGGGCGUAAAGGGUGCGUAGGCGGUUUUUUAAGUGGGAUGUGAAAUCCUGAGGCUUAACUUCAGAAUUGCAUUCCAAACUGGAAGGCUAGAGUACAGGAGAGGAAAGCGGAAUUCCCAGUGUAGCGGUGAAAUGCGUAGAGAUUGGGAGGAACACCAGUGGCGAAGGCGGCUUUCUGGACUGUAACUGACGCUGAGGCACGAAAGCGUGGGGAGCAAACAGGAUUAGAUACCCUGGUAGUCCAC
RNAcentral lists this ribosomal RNA (698 nucleotides) under uncultured bacterium. Its description in RNAcentral is "bacterial SSU rRNA". It matches the Rfam family "Bacterial small subunit ribosomal RNA", at positions 84 to 798 of the family's 1533-position model. The record is from RNAcentral.